Molecule: ribosomal RNA, 499 nt
Filed under: uncultured Lachnospiraceae bacterium
Lineage: Bacteria; Bacillati; Bacillota; Clostridia; Lachnospirales; Lachnospiraceae
Description: bacterial SSU rRNA
Rfam family: Bacterial small subunit ribosomal RNA
Source: RNAcentral
AGAGUUUGAUCCUGGCUCAGGAUGAACGCUGGCGGCGUGCCUAACACAUGCAAGUCGAACGAAGCAUGCCGGAGGAAGUUUUCGGAUGGAAUCCGGGAUGACUGAGUGGCGGACGGGUGAGUAACGCGUGGGUAACCUGCCCUGUACAGGGGGACAACAGUUAGAAAUGACUGCUAAUACCGCAUAAGCGCACAGGACCGCAUGGUCCGGUGUGAAAAACUCCGGUGGUACAGGAUGGACCCGCGUCUGAUUAGGUAGUUGGCGGGGUAACGGCCCACCAAGCCGACGAUCAGUAGCCGACCUGAGAGGGUGACCGGCCACAUUGGGACUGAGACACGGCCCAAACUCCUACGGGAGGCAGCAGUGGGGAAUAUUGCACAAUGGGGGAAACCCUGAUGCAGCGACGCCGCGUGAGUGAAGAAGUAUUUCGGUAUGUAAAGCUCUAUCAGCAGGGAAGAAAAUGACGGUACCUGACUAAGAAGCCCCGGCUAACUACGUG